Molecule: ribosomal RNA, 253 nt
Filed under: uncultured bacterium
Lineage: Bacteria
Description: partial 16S ribosomal RNA
Rfam family: Bacterial small subunit ribosomal RNA
Source: RNAcentral
UACGUAGGGUGCAAGCGUUGUCCGGAAUUAUUGGGCGUAAAGAGCUCGUAGGCGGCUUGUCGCGUCUGCUGUGAAAACCCGAGGCUCAACCUCGGGCCUGCAGUGGGUACGGGCAGGCUAGAGUGCGGUAGGGGAGAUUGGAAUUCCUGGUGUAGCGGUGGAAUGCGCAGAUAUCAGGAGGAACACCGAUGGCGAAGGCAGAUCUCUGGGCCGUAACUGACGCUGAGGAGCGAAAGCAUGGGGAGCGAACAGG